AAAUUGAAGAGUUUGAUCAUGGCUCAGAUUGAACGCUGGCGGCAGGCCUAACACAUGCAAGUCGAACGGUAACAGGAAGCAGCUUGCUGCUUUGCUGACGAGUGGCGGACGGGUGAGUAAUGUCUGGGAAACUGCCUGAUGGAGGGGGAUAACUACUGGAAACGGUAGCUAAUACCGCAUAACGUCGCAAGACCAAAGAGGGGGACCUUCGGGCCUCUUGCCAUCGGAUGUGCCCAGAUGGGAUUAGCUAGUAGGUGGGGUAACGGCUCACCUAGGCGACGAUCCCUAGCUGGUCUGAGAGGAUGACCAGCCACACUGGAACUGAGACACGGUCCAGACUC
This 341-nucleotide ribosomal RNA is filed under the name Escherichia coli. RNAcentral's name for it is "bacterial SSU rRNA". It matches the Rfam family "Bacterial small subunit ribosomal RNA", at positions 1 to 338 of the family's 1533-position model. The record is from RNAcentral. Lineage: Bacteria; Pseudomonadati; Pseudomonadota; Gammaproteobacteria; Enterobacterales; Enterobacteriaceae. RNAcentral also lists the same sequence under 2 other names.